RNAcentral lists this ribosomal RNA (397 nucleotides) under uncultured bacterium. RNAcentral describes it as "bacterial SSU rRNA". It matches the Rfam family "Bacterial small subunit ribosomal RNA", at positions 30 to 428 of the family's 1533-position model. The record is from RNAcentral.
AUUGAACGCUGGCGGCAUGCCUUACACAUGCAAGUCGAACGGCAGCGCGGGGCAACCUGGCGGCGAGUGGCGAACGGGUGAGUAACAUAUCGGAACAUACCCUAGAGUGGGGGAUAACGUAGCGAAAGUUACGCUAAUACCGCAUACGAUCUAAGGAUGAAAGUGGGGGAUCUUCGGACCUCAUGCUCAUGGAGUGGCCGAUAUCUGAUUAGCUAGUUGGUGAGGUAAAGGCUCACCAAGGCGACGAUCAGUAGCUGGUUUGAGAGAACGACCAGCCACACUGGAACUGAGACACGGUCCAGACUCCUACGGGAGGCAGCAGUGGGGAAUUUUGGACAAUGGGGGCAACCCUGAUCCAGCAAUGCCGCGUGAGUGAAGAAGGGCCUUCGGGUUGGUU